This 1888-nucleotide ribosomal RNA is filed under the name uncultured eukaryote. RNAcentral describes it as "partial Bacterial large subunit ribosomal RNA". It matches the Rfam family "Bacterial large subunit ribosomal RNA", at positions 1 to 1961 of the family's 2925-position model. The record is from RNAcentral.
AAAGUAAGGGCGUAUGGGGAAUGCCUAGGCUCUCAGAGGCGAAGAAGGACGUGAUAAGCUGCGAAAAGCUACGGGGAUCGGCACACACGAUAUGAUCCGUAGAUAUCCGAAUGGGGCAACCCGGCAUAUUGAAGAUAUGUCACCACGUAAGUGGAGCGAACCCGGAGAACUGAAACAUCUAAGUACCCGGAGGAGGAGAAAACAAAAGUGAUUCCGAUAGUAGCGGCGAGCGAAAUUGGAUUAGUCCAAACCGUACAUGUUUCGGCAUGUGCGGGGUUGUAGGACCACGAUAUUCGAAAUGUAAUGAACUAGAACGCUUUGGAAAUAGCGACCAUAGAGGGUGAUAGUCCCGUAUGGGUAAGAAAUGUUAUUGGUAGUGGUAUCCUGAGUAGGGCGGGGCACGUGAAACCCUGUCUGAAUCAAGCGGGACCAUCCGCUAAGGCUAAAUACUCCUGAGAGACCGAUAGUGAACUAGUACCGUGAGGGAAAGGUGAAAAGAACCCUGAAUAAGGGAGUGAAAUAGAUCCUGAAACCAUACGCUUACAAGCGGUCGGAGCUGACUUGAUCAGUGACGGCGUGCCUUUUGCAUAAUGAGCCUACGAGUUACUUUAACUAGCAAGGUUAAGCACUUCAGGUGCGGAUCCGUAGCGAAAGCGAGUCUGAAUAGGGCGCUAUAGUUAGUUUGAGUAGACGCGAAACCGUGUGAUCUACCCUUGGGCAGGUUGAAGCUGUGGUAACACAUAGUGGAGGACCGAACCCGUUGACGUUGAAAAGUCUUGGGAUGACCUGAGGGUAGGGGUGAAAGGCCAAUCAAACUCGGAAAUAGCUCGUACUCCCCGAAAUGCAUUUAGGUGCAGCGUUGAUUUAUAGUUUUAUAGAGGUAGAGCUACUGAUUGGAUGCGGGGGCUUCACCGCCUACCAAUUCCUGACAAACUCCGAAUGCUAUAAAAUGUUAAUCAGCAGUGAGGGCAUGGGUGCUAAGGUCCAUGUCCGAGAGGGAAAGAACCCAGACCAUCAGCUAAGGUCCCCAAAUGUAUGUUAAGUUGAAAAAACGCGGUUGAACUGCUUAGACAGCUAGGAUGUUGGCUUGGAAGCAGCCAUUCAUUUAAAGAGUGCGUAACAGCUCACUAGUCGAGCGGUUCGGCAUGGAUAAUAAUCGGGCAUAAACAUACUACCGAAGCUAUGGGAUCCUGCAAGAGCAGUGAUCGGUAGGGGAGCAUUCUAAUUGUGUUGAAGGUGUGCUGUGAGGCAUGCUGGAACGGUUAGAAAAGAAAAUGUAGGCAUAAGUAACGAUAAUGCGGGCGAGAAACCCGCACACCGAAAGACCAAGGUUUCCUCAGCUAUGCUAAUCAGCUGAGGGUUAGUCAGGGCCUAACGCGAACCCGAACGGGGUAGUGGAUGGACAACGGGUUAAUAUUCCCGUACCUGCUCACGCUAAAAGUGACGGAUUCGAAAAGUUGGUGCGCACAGACGGAAUUGUGCGUUGAAGGGAAGGGUAACCUCCCGAUAGUACACUAAGGCUACGGCUGCGGUGAUAAUCCAGCAAAUCGAGUUCCAAGAAAAGCAAGUGAAGCAGCCUGUACCGUAAACCGACACAGGUGGUUGGGAUGAGAAUUCUAAGGUGCUCGAGAGAUUCAUGGCUAAGGAACUAGGCAAAAUCGACCCGUAACUUCGGGAGAAGGGUCGCCCAUCUUUUAGAUGGGCCGCAGUGAAGAGGUCCAGGCGACUGUUUAUCAAAAACACAGGGCUCUGCUAAAUGGAAACAUGAAGUAUAGGGCCUGACACCUGCCCGGUGCCGGAAGGUUAAGAGGAGGGUUUAGCUUCGGCGAAGAUCUGAAUUGAAGCCCCGGUAAACGGCGGCCGUAACAAUAACGGUCCUAAGGUAGCG